GAUGAACGCUGGCGGCGUGCCUAAUACAUGCAAGUCGAGCGGACAGACGAGGAGCUUGCUCCUCUGACGUUAGCGGCGGACGGGUGAGUAACACGUGGAUAACCUACCUAUAAGACUGGGAUAACUUCGGGAAACCGGAGCUAAUACCGGAUAAUAUAUUGAACCGCAUGGUUCAAUAGUGAAAGACGGUUUUGCUGUCACUUAUAGAUGGAUCCGCGCCGCAUUAGCUAGUUGGUAAGGUAACGGCUUACCAAGGCAACGAUGCGUAGCCGACCUGAGAGGGUGAUCGGCCACACUGGAACUGAGACACGGUCCAGACUCCUACGGGAGGCAGCAGUAGGGAAUCUUCCGCAAUGGGCGAAAGCCUGACGGAGCAACGCCGCGUGAGUAAUGAAGGUCUUCGGAUCGUAAAACUCUGUUAUUAGGGAAGAACAAAUGUGUAAGUAACUAUGCACGUCUUGACGGUACCUAAUCAGAAAGCCACGGCUAACUACGUG
Molecule: ribosomal RNA, 497 nt
Filed under: uncultured bacterium
Lineage: Bacteria
Description: partial 16S ribosomal RNA
Rfam family: Bacterial small subunit ribosomal RNA
Source: RNAcentral